UUUUCCUACGGGAGGCAGCAGUGAGGAAUAUUGGUCAAUGGGCGCGAGCCUGAACCAGCCAAGUCGCGUGAGGGAAGACGGUCCUAUGGAUUGUAAACCUCUUUUGUCGGGGAGCAAAAGACGCCACGCGUGGCGUUCCGAGAGUACCCGAAGAAAAAGCAUCGGCUAACUCCGUGCCAGCAGCCGCGGUAAUACGGAGGAUGCGAGCGUUAUCCGGAUUUAUUGGGUUUAAAGGGUGCGUAGGCGGACUGUUAAGUCAGCGGUAAAAGCCCGGGGCUCAACCCCGGCGAGCCGUUGAAACUGGC
This 305-nucleotide ribosomal RNA is filed under the name uncultured bacterium. RNAcentral's name for it is "bacterial SSU rRNA". It matches the Rfam family "Bacterial small subunit ribosomal RNA", at positions 334 to 637 of the family's 1533-position model. The record is from RNAcentral.